RNAcentral lists this ribosomal RNA (480 nucleotides) under uncultured bacterium. RNAcentral's name for it is "partial 16S ribosomal RNA". It matches the Rfam family "Bacterial small subunit ribosomal RNA", at positions 28 to 507 of the family's 1533-position model. The record is from RNAcentral.
GACGAACGCUGGCGGCGUGCUUAACACAUGCAAGUCGAACGGGAUCCGGGCUUUCGGGUUUGGUGAGAGUGGCGAACGGGUGAGUAACACGUGAGUAACCUGCCCCCUUCUUUGGGAUAACGUCGGGAAAUCGGCGCUAAUACUGGAUAUUCUUGCUGCAUCGCAUGGUGUGGUUUGGAAAGGGUUUCUGGUGGGGGAUGGGCUCGCGGCCUAUCAGCUUGUUGGUGGGUGAUGGCCUACCAAGGCUUUGACGGGUAGCCGGCCUGAGAGGGUGUCCGGCCACACUGGGACUGAGACACGGCCCAGACUCCUACGGGAGGCAGCAGUGGGGAAUAUUGCACAAUGGGCGCAAGCCUGAUGCAGCGACGCCGCGUGAGGGAUGACGGCCUUCGGGUUGUAAACCUCUUUCAGUAUGGAACAAGGAUCCUUCUUUUGGGGGGUUUGAGGGUACGUGCAGAAGAAGCGCCGGCUAACUACGUG